CCUACGGGUGGCAGCAGUGGGGAAUAUUGCACAAUGGGCGCAAGCCUGAUGCAGCCAUGCCGCGUGUGUGAAGAAGGCCUUCGGGUUGUAAAGCACUUUCAGCGGGGAGGAAGGCGGUGAGGUUAAUAACCUCAUCGAUUGACGUUACCCGCAGAAGAAGCACCGGCUAACUCCGUGCCAGCAGCCGCGGUAAUACGGAGGGUGCAAGCGUUAAUCGGAAUUACUGGGCGUAAAGCGCACGCAGGCGGUCUGUCAAGUCGGAUGUGAAAUCCCCGGGCUCAACCUGGGAACUGCAUUCGAAACUGGCAGGCUAGGGUCUUGUAGAGGGGGGUAGAAUUCCAGGUGUAGCGGUGAAAUGCGUAGAGAUCUGGAGGAAUACCGGUGGCGAAGGCGGCCCCCUGGACAAAGACUGACGCUCAGGUGCGAAAGCGCGGGGAGCAAACAGGAUUAGAUACCCUUGUAGUC
Molecule: ribosomal RNA, 465 nt
Filed under: uncultured Klebsiella sp.
Lineage: Bacteria; Pseudomonadati; Pseudomonadota; Gammaproteobacteria; Enterobacterales; Enterobacteriaceae
Description: bacterial SSU rRNA
Rfam family: Bacterial small subunit ribosomal RNA
Source: RNAcentral